RNAcentral lists this ribosomal RNA (440 nucleotides) under uncultured bacterium. Its description in RNAcentral is "partial 16S ribosomal RNA". It matches the Rfam family "Bacterial small subunit ribosomal RNA", at positions 338 to 795 of the family's 1533-position model. The record is from RNAcentral.
CCUACGGGGGGCAGCAGUGGGGAAUAUUGGACAAUGGGGGGAACCCUGAUCCAGCGACGCCGCGUGAGUGAAGAAGUAUUUCGGUAUGUAAAGCUCUAUAAGCAGGGAAGAAAAUGACGGUACCUGACUAAGAAGCCCCGGCUAACUACGUGCCAGCAGCCGCGGUAAUACGUAGGGGGCAAGCGUUGUCCGGAUUUACUGGGGGUAAAGGGAGCGUAGACGGUGCAGCAAGUCCGAUGUGAAAGGUGGGGGCCCAACCCCGGGAGUGCAGUUGAAACUGUUGAACUGGAGUGCAGGAGAGGUAAGUGGAAUUCCUGGUGUAGCGGUGAAAUGCGUAGAUAUCAGGAGGAACACCGGUGGCGAAGGCGGCUUACUGGACUGUAACUGACGUUGAGGCACGAAAGCGUGGGUAGCAAACAGGAUUAGAUACCCCUGUAGUC